GACGAACGCUGGCGGCGUGCUUAACACAUGCAAGUCGAACGGAAAGGCCCUGCUUUUGUGGGGUGCUCGAGUGGCGAACGGGUGAGUAACACGUGAGUAACCUGCCCUUGACUUUGGGAUAACUUCAGGAAACUGGGGCUAAUACCGGAUAGGAGCUCCUGCUGCAUGGUGGGGGUUGGAAAGUUUCGGCGGGUGGGGAUGGACUCGCGGCUUAUCAGCUUGUUGGUGGGGUAGUGGCUUACCAAGGCUUUGACGGGUAGCCGGCCUGAGAGGGUGACCGGCCACAGUGGAACUGAGAUACGGCCCAGACUCCUACGGGAGGCAGCAGUGGGGAAUAUUGCACAAUGGGCGGAAGCCUGAUGCAGCAACGCCGCGUGCGGGAUGACGGCCUUCGGGUUGUAAACCGCUUUCGCCUGUGACGAAGCGUGAGUGACGGUAAUGGGUAAAGAAGCACCGGCUAACUACGUG
RNAcentral lists this ribosomal RNA (468 nucleotides) under uncultured bacterium. RNAcentral describes it as "partial 16S ribosomal RNA". It matches the Rfam family "Bacterial small subunit ribosomal RNA", at positions 28 to 507 of the family's 1533-position model. The record is from RNAcentral.